Molecule: non-coding RNA, 731 nt
Filed under: Posthodiplostomum centrarchi
Lineage: Eukaryota; Metazoa; Platyhelminthes; Trematoda; Diplostomida; Diplostomidae
Description: small subunit ribosomal RNA
Rfam family: Microsporidia small subunit ribosomal RNA (bases 327-724)
Source: RNAcentral
CUUUAGUUUAAUUCUGGCUAAAAAAGAGUUUAUUUUUACCUUUCACAUAAAAAAAUUAUAAAUAUGGGUUAAAAAAAAGAGUUUUUUAUUUAGUGGUGAAAUCUUUUUUUUUAUUGCGAAAUAGAUAGGGGUAGAAGUAAAAGAGGUGGAAAACUCUCAGUGCCAGCAUCCGCGGUUAUUCUGUGGUCCUUUCUCUUUGAUUUGGUAAAAAUUUAUUUGUACUAAAAAAACUAGAAGGUGUAAAAGUUUUGCUAGGUUAUAAAAAAAGGGUGAAAUAAAAAUAAAAAUUUUUUAAGGAUAGAGAUUAGAGACCUCUUUACUAAAUUGUAAUUUUUUUACCUUGGUUACAACUAAAAGAAUUUGGCAGCUAACGAUAUUCGUCCGGGGGAACGUGCUUCUUAAACAGAUGAUACACUAAAAAGUUUACCAGGUCUACCGGAGUUAGUGUAUAUCCGGUUUAAUAUCCAUAAUUAAUUUAAAGUGGGUGCUUAUACAAAAUGUUGAAUAAUUUAAGUCAGGUCGAUGUGCUGCUUAUGAUUUGGGUGUUUGUGCGUUACAAUAAAAAAAAAUAGAAUGAAAAAGUAGUUUUUAUUCAGGACUCGGCAGUAGGAGUAUAAUAUAUAGAUGCUUCGAAUGGGAUUUAGUUAGGGUACACAUCGCCCGUCAGUUUCAAUGUCAAUUGGAAUAAGUCGUAACAUGGUAACAAUUGGGGAACCAGUUGUUAAGAGAUC